GUGCCUUAAACUAAUGAGUAAGGAAAAUUACGAGCUCUGCUGACGCUUUGCUCAGCUUCAUAACAUGCACGAAGGCUAGUCCCCCGUGCGUAAGCGUUAUUUUUACAGAGGCACAGGUCGUCCCCUAGAAGUUGUUCUGCCUACUUUGCAGAAUGCUCGGGCGUGUUGCGAUCUGCCUC
Molecule: small nuclear RNA, 179 nt
Organism: Toxorhynchites rutilus septentrionalis
Lineage: Eukaryota; Metazoa; Arthropoda; Insecta; Diptera; Culicidae
Product: U12 minor spliceosomal RNA
Exons: 1
Source: RefSeq, a predicted model, not a curated record